RNAcentral lists this ribosomal RNA (430 nucleotides) under Pseudomonadota bacterium. RNAcentral describes it as "Proteobacteria bacterium partial 16S ribosomal RNA". It matches the Rfam family "Bacterial small subunit ribosomal RNA", at positions 355 to 776 of the family's 1533-position model. Lineage: Bacteria; Pseudomonadati; Pseudomonadota. The record is from RNAcentral.
UGGGGAAUAUUGGACAAUGGGCGAAAGCCUGAUCCAGCCAUGCCGCGUGUGUGAAGAAGGCCUUUUGGUUGUAAAGCACUUUAAGCGAGGAGGAGGCUACUAGUACUAAUACUACUGGAUAGUGGACGUUACUCGCAGAAUAAGCACCGGCUAACUCUGUGCCAGCAGCCGCGGUAAUACAGAGGGUGCGAGCGUUAAUCGGAUUUACUGGGCGUAAAGCGUGCGUAGGCGGCUGAUUAAGUCGGAUGUGAAAUCCCUGAGCUUAACUUAGGAAUUGCAUUCGAUACUGGUCAGCUAGAGUAUGGGAGAGGAUGGUAGAAUUCCAGGUGUAGCGGUGAAAUGCGUAGAUAUAGGAAGGAACACCAGUGGCGAAGGCGACCACCUGGGCUCAUACUGACACUGAGGUGCGAAAGCGUGGGGAGCAAACAGG